This 253-nucleotide ribosomal RNA is filed under the name uncultured bacterium. Its description in RNAcentral is "partial 16S ribosomal RNA". It matches the Rfam family "Bacterial small subunit ribosomal RNA", at positions 524 to 776 of the family's 1533-position model. The record is from RNAcentral.
GACGGAGGGUGCGAGCGUUGUUCGGAAUCACUGGGCGUAAAGGGCGCGUAGGCGGCCGUGCGUGUCGGGUGUGAAAGCCCGGAGCUCAACCCCGGAACGGCCCCCGGGACUGCAGAGCUGGAGACUGCGAGAGGUGGGUGGAAUACCGAGUGUAGAGGUGAAAUUCGUAGAUAUUGGGAAGAACACCGGUGGCGAAGGCGGCUCGCUGGCGCAUUUCUGACGCUGAGGUGCGAAAGCGUGGGGAGCAAACAGG